GUAGGUGAACCUGCAGAAGGAUCAUUACGCGUUAUUUUUUUAUAAACCUUACACACAUUCACACACACACACACACUACACGUGAGUUUAUAAAUUCUAUAACCACACUCUUUGCCGCGUAAGUAAAGAGAUUCACUUUUUUUACGCGUGCGGCAAACACACAAUCUCGAAACAAGAUAUGCCUGCAGACUUGAUCUGUAGGAUACACCUUUCAUCUAGAUCACAUAAUUCAACUCAGCUCUGCGGAGCCUAACACACGCAUAAUUUUAAUUAUGUAGACAUAUUACACACAUUUUCUCAUACUGCAUGAGCGAUGGAUCUCUUGGUUCCUUGCAUCGUUGAAGGUCGCAG
Molecule: unclassified non-coding RNA, 351 nt
Filed under: Epistominella sp. 8122
Lineage: Eukaryota; Foraminifera; Rotaliida; Pseudoparrellidae
Description: sequence contains 18S rRNA gene and ITS1
Source: RNAcentral